This 424-nucleotide ribosomal RNA is filed under the name uncultured bacterium. RNAcentral's name for it is "bacterial SSU rRNA". It matches the Rfam family "Bacterial small subunit ribosomal RNA", at positions 355 to 776 of the family's 1533-position model. The record is from RNAcentral.
UAGGGAAUAUUGGGCAAUGGACGCAAGUCUGACCCAGCCAUGCCGCGUGCAGGAUGACGGCCCUAUGGGUUGUAAACUGCUUUUGUCAGGGAAAAAACCCUCCGACGUGUCGGAGGCUGAUGGUACCUGAAGAAUAAGGAUCGGCUAACUCCGUGCCAGCAGCCGCGGUAAUACGGAGGAUCCAAGCGUUGUCCGGAUUUAUUGGGUUUAAAGGGUGCGUAGGUGGAUUAUUAAGUCAGGGGUGAAAGCCCGCAGCUCAACUGUGGAACUGCCCUUGAAACUGAUAAUCUUGAGUGCGGUUGAGGUAGGCGGAAUGUGUCAUGUAGCGGUGAAAUGCUUAGAUAUGAUACAGAACACCAAUUGCGAAGGCAGCUUACUAAACCGUAACUGACACUGAGGCACGAAAGCAUGGGGAGCAAACAGG